UUAAAUACCUGUGGGGCGGGAAGUCGGGCGGAGUCUAAAGGCCAGGGCGCUGCCGCCCCGGAGUAGGAAAGGGCCGAGAGUAAGGCCAGGGACUAUCAGAGCCUGAGUCUCCACCCAUAGCAAAUGGCAUCUGUACUGGAAGCCUCUGCAUAUUAGUGCAGGGCGGGGAUGGAUAGAUGAAUGAAGGCAACGCUGAUAUGACAAGAUAUAGAAGAGCAGAAGGCAAGAAGGGGAUGCAGCUCAGUGACUUCUGGUAGGCGACUUUUGGCUUCAAAACCCUGAAAACUGUGUCCUAGACCACCCCGACACUACCAUUUUCUGAACAUCUUCCCAUAAAGAAUAAUGAAUAUUGAACACCAGGAUACCAAAAAAGCUCAUCUAAUCUACUCAAGUAUCACUGUGUACUCUGUUUCAAGAUGCAAAUGAAGUGGGGAUUUUCCUAUGCUGGACAGAGUGUACAGUUACCUGGCCAUGAGGUCUUGGGUCAUUGCUGAAGGGAGAUUCAUGAGGAUGCCAGAAUUAUCCUACUGAAUAGACCAUGAGCUACUUGGAGACAGAAUUGGAGAAGAUACAGUCUCUGGUCUCAGUAUGGAUGUGUAAGCAGGUGAAAUACGUUAUGACAUUUCCCUGUCUAAUUCUUCGCUGGAGUACACAAGAAUCUGCAUACUUUGGCCUGUGGCUUGGGACUUCAGAUCCACGUCUUUAAGACCUGGUGAGCCAGCCAGAAGAAAGAGCUGAAGGUGCCCCAUGGCCAGAUCCAAGUGUAUGCCUGGACUCUCUUCUGCUUCUCCAUAUUGGGAUAUAAGUCCAGCAAAAGAAGUAACCAUUGGCCAAGGACAGAUGCCGAGACCAUCAUUAAAAUUGAGAAGCAGCGCUGGAGAGAUGAUUCAGCAGUUAAGAGCACUUGCUGUUCUUACAAAGGGCCUGUCUGGAUUUCAUUCCCGGUGCCCACAUGGAAGCUCACAGUUGUCUGUAAUUCCAGUUCCAAGGAAUCUGUCACACUCUUCUGACUUCCUUGGGCACAAGCAUACACGAGAUGUAUACUCAUAUGUAGGCAAAAUAUUCAUACACAUAUGACAAAAUAAAUCUAAAAUAUUGACAUAGAUUUAGAGUUUUAGUAUUUUAAUCAAAUAUUCAUUUAGAUGAGUUUAUCAUACACCUUCAAGGUGCAUCAGUUGCAAGGUACUUAAGUUUCAAAUUGUAGCAUCACUCCAAAUAAAGCUGAGAUUAUGCCACUCCAAACUCAAAUUUAAGUGAACAACUGUAUGCAUUUCAACAUGUUGGCUAAACAUGCCCUGUGAAAAGUGAAAAUAUGUAGCCCAGUUUUUCGAUCUGGAACCAGAAUUUGAAAACCAAUUUCAAGAUUUCCAGGAAAAGUAAUUAAUAUUUUAAUAUAUUUGCAACUCCAUUUUAAGCUCACAGAAAUAUGCCAAAUACCAAUUUUCAAGCAGAAUGCACAGAGAUGCAAUCUGACAUUUAACCUAAGGAUAAACUUGGUUAGGUCUCUUUACUCAGCUUGCCUGGAUCCUGUCUCUUCAGACACAAUUAUCCCGCCAUUCCCAGUCACAGUCUGUUCACGUCAUCACUGGUUGGCAGCUCUUUCAUUUGUGAGCAAGUAUGGAACCAGGUUAUCCUUGAACUCAGUGGUAGGCCUUGCUCUGCAGGGAUUAAAGGCGAGUGCCACCGUGGCCCAGCUGGGCAAGUAUGUUUGAGAAUGAGGCACAUGUAGUAAAAUUAGAACCCAGACACUUGACAAGCACCUGCCAGCAUGCUCAGAAUCACGAUUAUUCUUCCAUGGAAGCAGCUAUUGACACAUUAGAUCCCAAGAGAGAUACCAGAUUGUGGCCAUCUUUGUUUUACUUAAUUAAAAAUAGUUUUGAAAAAUGAA
This 1888-nucleotide small RNA is filed under the name Rattus norvegicus (Norway rat). RNAcentral describes it as "uncharacterized LOC102554685". The record is from RNAcentral. Lineage: Eukaryota; Metazoa; Chordata; Mammalia; Rodentia; Muridae.